UUUUUUGUAGGAACGAUCUUUUAUUGGGGGAGGGUUCAUCAACCCUUCCUCAAGGCGGCCAGCACAUUGCUCAGCUCCUCCCACUUUCUCUUGGCGCAGAUGCGCAUGCCCACACUCUUCCUGAUGAACCUGAGUGCGCGCUUGUCCUUGGGCACUUUGAGCACAUCUUGGCCCUACCACAUUUAAGGUGCUCAACAGCCUCAUGUGUCCCGUAGUCGCUACCUUAAGAGCUAAGGAUCUGAUACGGGUUCAUAAAGAUCUUUCUGCUGAGAGUGGCAAAUGUGCUUGCGGGGAAUUCACAGACACCUCUCAGCUUGCGGGGAAUUCACAGACACCUCUCAAAUUUUAGCAUGCAUGAGAGUUACCUAGUGCUAUGAUUGCCUCUGACUAUAACUUGACAGGACUAAGGAUCUCCUGAGAGAGAUGCUUCUGGGCUCCUGAGAGGCUGUCUCCAGAGAGGACUAAUUGAGAAGAACACACAUCCUCCUAGUGUGUGGCACAUUCCAACGGCUGGCUCAGCUAUAAAGAGGGCCAAGAAAAGCAGUCAUAUAAGCCUACCGGCCUCUGCUUCUUCCUGAGCUUCUGCGUCCACGGCAGUUGUUCCUGCGGUGGCCUGCUGGCACCAACUCCAGCCUCUUAGGCCUUCUGAGGAGUGGGUACUCUCUGUUGAAGUUUUGUCUUUUACUGUUUAUUGUCAUGCUAAGUGUUGGCCUUCAAGAUCUGGAGUCUGCAAGUAGACUCUGGGACCCAGCAGCCCCCAAGUUAAUUCUGAUUAGUGAAUAAAAAUGCCAGCAGCCAAUAGCUAGGGAGAAGAGACAUAGGCAGGGUUGAGUUUUUCGUGGGCUUGGAGAGGGGAAACCACGAGGAGGGCAAGCAGGAAGGAGCCACCUUGGAAGAGAAAGAACCCGCAAGAGGGAGAAGGAUAGCUGAGCAUAAAAAAAUGCGGCUCACCUGCUUUACGGCUUACCUGCUUUACGGCUGGCUCACCUGCUUUACGGCUCACUUAAGAGCAGCCCAGGCGGAACAUAGAAAUUAGUUAAGUAGUAACUCCGAGUUAUUGGUAGGAAAGUGGAUUUUAACAGCAUGGUAGGAGGGUAGGCAGUCGCUUAGCUACUGUGCUGCCUAAGGCAUAUUAAAAUGCAAAGGCUGUGUGUGUGACUUUCGUCUGGGAGCACAAACCAUUUUAGAUGGGAAGGAACCCAAAUAGUUUUACUGCAGAGAAAUUCCCCAGGCCUUUGGUGCUGAGCUGACUCUGCUUGGCGUGCUCAGCUGCUCUCAGGCUCUCAGCCUUUCAGCAUGCAGACAGCUCCUGCUGGACUACUUAGCAGGAUGUAUGUAAGUCAAUCUAAUCUUACCCCCUCCACACCCCGUUUGUAAUAUACGCUCACCCCGUGGUCCUAUUCUGUUCUAGCGCUAAGCAAUACACAUGAAGAAAACGGAAGUUCCAUGGUUGUGUUCUUCUAGCAAACGCUGAGGGGUGCACAUAAAGGACAGGCAUCUUCGGGUCAAUUCACGGGUCAGAUACUCUUCAUGACUUCUUCACCAUUGCGCAGUGAUGAUGAAUGAUGACGAUGGAAACUGAAUUAGUCUCAGGAGAGGGCCUUUGAAACUGAGCCUGAGGAUAUAAUCUGAAGUAGCCUAGGAUAGACCAUGCAGCCAAGGAUGCCUCCUCUUUCCACCUCCCAAGUGCUGGGUUUACACGUGUGAACCACCACCACCAUGAUGUGCCUCAUAUAGUACCUCCAGGCGCGUGAUUUUUCAGAUGUGCAGCGUAGGGUUGGAAGACCCUGAGGUGAAAAGGGAGACUCAAGAACAGAAGAUGGGGCAGUCAGGGCUGAGUAGAUGCUGUGGGGGGCCAGCGCAGUGUGGAGUCCUCAAAAAAAAAACAAAAAAAAAAAAAAAAAACCAGGAGCAGGAGGGUUCAAGGAAACAGUCGAGUAGAGAGGGGUCCUUGAGUAUCCACCACCUGCCCUGCAUUUAAUCUCUGCUCACAUGAAGCCAGGAGGGUUGCGUCCCUCCGCAGCCCCAGCAGCUGGGAGACAGGCAGGGACUCUGACAGGAUGCUGCCUCAAGAUGAUGGCCAAAGAGAAGAAUUUGCCCAGUAAAUGUAAAGUCUCUGAAAAGAAAUUGAAAAUUAGAUUUUACUGUUCUCCUGAUUUCUCCUAAAUCUGGCUUUUGCUUCACACUGCCCCCCACAGAAACCUACCUCCCACCGACUUUUGUGAAGUGUCAUGUAUUCUUUUUACUAAACUAGAAUUGAGAUUCAAAGAAGCCUUUGAUUUCAAAAUCGAGAAGUUUCAGUUUGGUUUCAUAUUUAGGUUCAGUGGGUUAUAGGAACUCAGAACAAAAUGAAAGCCCUAGAGAGCUCAAGCCUCCAUGUUUAGGACAGACAGGUGUGUCAGCCCUCUUUCCUCUAAAUGAGAGUUACAUAAUCUGACUUACCUGCACAUGGGUGACAUCAACGUGGUGCCCCGACUAUGAUAUAAACAAAAACGGAGGGGAGAAUUUGUCAUCUUAUGUGAGGACUUGGGAGAGUCAGUCCUAAAUUGACGCUGGCGUUGGUAUUUGCAACUCUAGACUGCACAAGAACAAGAUAAGCAAACCAUGCACAGGGAGCCGGUGCCUCAACAGCCAAAAUGGUAUUGCAGAAGGCAACACGUUCCCAUCUGUCCCCCCUGGAACAAAAGUUCACCCCAGCACAGUGCAGUCUUCCUCGACUCCACACAGCAGCACUGGAAGGGCCAGUGUCCGUUAAGCCAGUGUGUGUGUUAAGCGAGGUGGAUUAUGCCCAGUCAGCGAUGCCCACAUGGCGUCGCUGGGAAGAUGGCUAGGCAUCCCUAAGCAAUGUCCUCGGGAACCUAUAAUGGCAUGGCUACCAUGAAUGGAGUGCAACAGGCCGAUUAUCUGAAGCCCUAAAGCGUCUGUUCAGAGCAACCACAGACAAAGGGAGAUGCGUGAGAACACCAACCAAGAUGUGGUUUGAAACACCAAUCCUUAAGCACCCAGAAAGCCCAGCCCAUGGAAUUAAACAUGUAGAGUUGACAAGGAGCUAAAGUCAUACAUGAUCAGGCAUCAAAGAGAAACAGAAUGUGAGAGGAGAGCUCAGACCUGCAGGCACAUACAACAUUUUCACUUAUUAGCAGCUGACGUUUCAUAAUGGGACUUUUGAGAAAAGGUCUCAUGUAUCCCAGGCUAGCCUCACAGUUGCUUUGUAAUCAAGGAUAACUCCGAAGUUUUUAAAUGUUCUAAUUUGGGGAAGCUUCACAUGCCACUAACCUGAAUAGGAAGGGAGAGCCACUCUAAAUUACAUACAUCGAGUAUAUAUAAACUUACAGAUGGAAUGCAACUUUGGAAGUUCAGAAUCAGACACUCAGGGUGUUUUGCCCUGUCAGAUCCUGAAACAGCUCCACACCGUUCUUUGCACACACCCCAACCACUCCAGUGAAACCCUUGCUCUGAGGCAGCCCUCUUCCCUUUCCGAAUGGUUCUGACUGCGAAGUGGGCUGAUCGCUCAGGUGGGAAAACACUUGCCUUGCAAAUGUUUAGACCUGAGGUGGAUCCUUUGAAUAUAAUGUAAAAGUCAGGUGCUGUGGAUUCCAGAACUAGAGAGCCAGACCGUGGGGCUAGGCUCUCUGGCCAAUCAGCCUUGCCUAAUCAGAGUCCUAGGUCCUAUCAAGAACUUGUCUCAAAAAAGAAGGUGGGUGGCUCUUGCAGAAUGACAGCUAAACUUGCCCUCUUGCCUUUGUGCAUGCACGCACAGGCACAUAUGUGAACACACACACACACACACACACACAGAGAGAGAGAGAGAGAGAGAGAGAGAGAGAGAGAGAGAGAGACUAUACUUCAGAAUCUGACAGGUGGCCAAAUAAGACAGGCGACCACAGAUCAAAACCAAACUGCCUGCUGGCUGUGCUUGGGGAAGUUACUUCUCUGGGCCUCUAUUUUCUCCCUUAUAAAUGAUAAAUACAGUUGCAUCUGAGCUCUGGCUUUUGAGACGUCAGAACAGAGAGUAAGUGCUGGGGACCGUGGGACCCCGAUCCUGUACAUUUCUUAUAUUAGUCUCUCCUCAUCUGGUUGGCAUUGUUGCCAGUGCCCUUUUGAAAACUGCACUCUCAGUAUGAACUUGUAUUUCCUGUGUUUCACCCUUACAUUGCAGAAUUCAGGCAGCGACUCAGAACCAACACUGGCUCUGCUUAUUCUAAUGCCUAAAAGUUUAUCUGCAUGGAGAACCUUCGAUCCCAGAUGACAGCAUGGGAAUUAGUUUCUUUUCCUUUGUUUUUGUUUUGUUUUGUUUUGUUUUUUUCAUAAAGCUCAAUUUAUAUUGAGAACUCCUUCUCUACUGAGUAGCAAAGAAUUCAUCGGGAUGAUUUCAGUGUAAGCUUUUCCCCAGAGUUGCUUCAGAAGUCUGGAGCCAUAUUCCACAAAACUCAGAAUAGCAUGUUGUUUUCUGUGAGUAUUCUGCAGUGUUGUGGCUUGAUCAUGCUUGGCCCAUGGGAAGUGGCACUACUAGGAGGUGUGGCCUUAUUGGCAGAGAUGUAGCCUUGUAAGAGGAAUUGUGUCACUGUGAAGGCAAGACUUUGAAAUCGCAUACAUACGCUCUAGUCUGGCCAACAUGAUUCAGACCUUCCUCCUGGCCACCUGCAGAAGACAGUCUCCUCUUGGCUGCCUUCCGAUCAAGAUGUAGAACCCUCGGCUCCUCCAGCACCAUGUCUGCCUGCACAUUACCACGCUUCCCAUCGAGAUGACAAUGGACGGAACCUCUGAUCCUCUAAGCCAGUCCCAGUUAAAUGCUUUCCUUUAUAAGAGUUACCUUGGUCAUGAUGUCCCUCCACGCAAUGGAAGCCUCACUGAGACAUACACGUUGCUCGUCCAGAUGCCCUGCUCCCAUCCAGUCUUCAUUCACAGAUUACUGACAGGCUAGUGCUGCUUUCUUCCAUUCCACCAUGUCAUUCCCAUCAAGGACCAUACAGUGCCCUCUUUACUUAAACCUGAAACUGCCUACUGCUUGCUCUGAGACAUUGAAACCUGGGCUGUGCUUUGGGGCCCUAAGACCACCUGAUGCUGGAAAGUGGUGCAAGAACACUAGAGCAUCCUUGUGGUCAUAUCGCUGAUACACUAGGCUUCCCCAGCAGGCUCCAGGGAGCAGACAGGGGCUCCUGAGGCACCGUAAAGGACAAGUGAAUAGUCUUUGCUUUUCUAUCUCCAAUCUCAUCCAACAUGGGCUUUCUUGGCCGAUGCCCUCUACCCCUGGGAAGUCACAGGUAUGUAUCACCAGUCCCCUCUUAAUCCUCAGUGCUUCAGGCCACAGAAUGCAUUUGUCUGUCCUGAGGAUGAGGGGGACGGAAAGUCUUCAAACUAUGCCUAGGCCCACCUGAAGACUUGACCACGUUUUGUUGUUGUUGUUUGUUUUUUGAGACAGGGUUUCUCUGCGUAGCCCUGGCUGUACUGGACUCACUUUGUUCACCAGGCUGACCUCAAACCCACAGAGAUCCUCCUGCCUCUGUCUCCCGAGUACUGGGAUUAAAGCCCUGCACCACCACCCCGGCUCUUGACACUGCUUCUUCCUAUGAUGCCCUUUCUUCCUCGGGGAGAUCAUUCCCAGCACUUCGAGCUGGUUAUUGAAAGAACAAAUGGAGAAGCAGAGGGGUGGCUCAGAGGCCAAACCGCUUGCUUCUGACUCUGUCAACCGCAGUUCAACCCCCAGGAGCCACAGGGGUGGACAGAUAGAACUCGACCCUGCCAGCUGUCCUCUGCGGUUCAUACGUGACUCUAGGUGUGUGCACCCCACCCCAGGCUAAAUAAAUGGGAUUUAAAGCUAAAGGAGAAAAUUGUAACAAGAAAUAAAAGGAAAAGGUGUCAGAACUAUGAGUUAAU
This 5877-nucleotide small RNA is filed under the name Rattus norvegicus (Norway rat). Its description in RNAcentral is "uncharacterized LOC102547938". Lineage: Eukaryota; Metazoa; Chordata; Mammalia; Rodentia; Muridae. The record is from RNAcentral.